UGUGUUAUUUGGCUUUGUUCUUCAGAUUUAGACCCUCCCCUAAGUCAAACCGAAACUCCCCGAACUGGUGUCCUGCGAGAGCUGACCCUUUAGGAGUGUGCGCUUCGAGUCAUGUGAACUGAAACCUGUGGACUUCCCACAGCCCAGCGGGACCCACCUUCCCAAGCAGCAGGCCCGGAGCCUCGAGCUGACACGUCAAUCCUUGUGUUUCGUGCAGAUUUAGAAGGAAGGGCACCUGGAACCCCAGACGCACUUCAUUCACUGCAAACCCUGUGCCCUUAACCUGUUUCCAGUAUUCGGAGGAAUUACUGAUUGCUCACCAGAAUUGUUGUACAACUCACCGUCUCACCAGCAGUACGGAAGACCGUCUGGUAAUCCUCACCAACGCUGGCCAUUAUUAAGCUUUAUUUAUUGCCAAUGCUGUGUAAAUAGCCAGUUAUACAGCACUAGUAUUUUGCUUUCCAUUUCCUUAAUCAUGAGUGUAACUGAGAAAUCUGUCUCAUGUUUGAUGGUCAAGAACUGGCUUUUGAUAGUCUCUCUUUUUCGACGGGAUAUUUCCCCUUCUCUUUACUGACAUGACGAAGCUCUCUUUACAACAAGGAAAGACCCCACGGCUGGUCACUUGCCUCGCAAAACUUUCCUAAAUGUAUUGUUUCUCUUUUGGGUUUGUGUAUUUCGUGUGUAAAAGGUUAAGUUUUUGUGAAAUUUGUUGAUAAAUGUUAUUACUUCUGGCAUUCCCGACCCCCUUCAUCAUGAUUAUUUUUUCAAUCACUCAUCUUGUUUUAGCUCUUAUGAUUCCAGCUUCUUUUAAUAUAUGACACCGCUUUUGAAAGACGGUGGUUGGUAAUUUGUGAAGCCGCUGACUCCCCAGAUGACGUUCCUGUGAAACGCUUGGCAGUUGCAGAUGAACUUGGGUCCUCAGUGCCACUGACCAAGGCCGACAAAGGCAAGUGGCAUUAUUGUGCCAUUGUCACAUCAGUAUUUGAAGGACGACUGCGGAAGCUGAAAGCCCA
RNAcentral lists this long non-coding RNA (1013 nucleotides) under Piliocolobus tephrosceles (Ugandan red Colobus). RNAcentral's name for it is "lncRNA (ENSPTEG00000017088.1)". Lineage: Eukaryota; Metazoa; Chordata; Mammalia; Primates; Cercopithecidae. The record is from RNAcentral.